GGGUUACACUGUCUCCUUUUUCUAAUCAGUGAAACUGAUCUCCCCGUGAAGAAGCUGGGAUUUUUAUAUAAGACGAGAAGACCCCAUGGAGCUUUAAAUUAUUUACUUACUUUAUGUGAAUACACCAACAAAACUAAAAAAAUCUGAGUAUCAUUUUAGGUUGGGGCGACCACGGAGUAUAAUUAAACCUCCACAACAAACAGACCACACCUUUACCUGCGAGCUACAUCUCUAAGAAUUAACAUAUUAAUGUUUUAUGACCCGAAUAUUCGAUCAAUGGACCAAGUUACCCUGGGGAUAACAGCGCAAUCUAUUUCAAGAGUCCUUAUCGACAAAUAGGUUUACGACCUCGAUGUUGGAUCAGGGUACCCGAGUGGUGCAGCCGCUACUAAUGGUUCGUUUGUUCAACGAUUAAAACCCUACGUGAUCUGAGUUCA
Molecule: ribosomal RNA, 437 nt
Filed under: Chalcorana labialis
Lineage: Eukaryota; Metazoa; Chordata; Amphibia; Anura; Ranidae
Description: Hylarana labialis partial 16S ribosomal RNA
Rfam family: Bacterial large subunit ribosomal RNA
Source: RNAcentral